UACGUAGGGGGCAAGCGUUGUACGGAUUUAUUGGGCGUAAAGAGCGUGUAGGCGGCCAGACAGGUCCGUUGUGAAAACUCGAGGCUCAACCUCGAGACGUCGACGGAAACCGUCUGGCUAGAGUCCGGAAGAGGAGUGUGGAAUUCCUGGUGUAGCGGUGAAAUGCGCUGAUAUCAGGAAGAACACCUAUGGCGAAGGCAGCACUCUGGGACGGUACUGACGCUGAGACGCGAAAGCGUGGGGAGCGAACAGG
RNAcentral lists this ribosomal RNA (253 nucleotides) under uncultured bacterium. RNAcentral's name for it is "partial 16S ribosomal RNA". It matches the Rfam family "Bacterial small subunit ribosomal RNA", at positions 524 to 776 of the family's 1533-position model. The record is from RNAcentral.